RNAcentral lists this small RNA (356 nucleotides) under uncultured cyanobacterium. Its description in RNAcentral is "bacterial LSU rRNA". The stretch from base 1 to 120 matches the Rfam family "Bacterial small subunit ribosomal RNA", at positions 1414 to 1533 of the family's 1533-position model. The record is from RNAcentral. Lineage: Bacteria; Bacillati; Cyanobacteriota.
GUCACGCCCGAAGUCGUUACCCUAACCGAAAGGAGGGGGAUGCCGAAGGCAGGGCUAGUGACUGGGGUGAAGUCGUAACAAGGUAGCCGUACCGGAAGGUGUGGCUGGAUCACCUCCUUUAAGGGAGACCUACUAUCACUUGCAACCCUAAAAAAACGCAAGGAUUGAUAGACAUCCCAAGGUCGUGCCAGAGAAUGAGAGAAAUUAGAUUUCCAACUAUUUGUUAGGGUUCGUAAAAAAGCACCUUGAAAACUGCAUAGAAAAUAGAUAGAGAAAUAUCAGAAAAUCUGAUAACCAGGUGAAAAAUCCAGGUCAAGCUACAAAGAGCUAACGGUGGAUACCUAGGCACACAGAGG